GACGAACGCUGGCGGCGCGCUUAACACAUGCAAGUCGAACGGAAAGGCCUGCUUUCCCUUGUGGAUUGCGGGUACUCGAGUGGCGAACGGGUGAGUAACACGUGAGUGAUCUGCCCCCAACUUGGGUAUAAGCCUGGGAAACUGGGUCUAAUUCCCGAUAGGACUGCAGGGUGGUGCCUGUGGUGGAAGACGAUUUUCUAGUGGUUGGGGAUGAGCUCGCGGCCUAUCAGCUUGUUGGUGGGGUAAUGGCCUACCAAGGCGGCGACGGGUAGCCGGCCUGUGAGGGGCGACGGCCACAUUGGGACUGGGAUACGGCCCAGACUCCUACGGGCGGCAGCAGUGGGGACUAAUGCACCAUGGGCGGAAGCCUGAUGCAGCGACGCCGCGUGGGGGAUGACGGCCUUCGGGUUGUAAACUCCUUUCGACCGCGAGGAAGCCACCUGGUUGGAAGGGUGGUGACGGUAGUGGUAGAAGAAGCACCGGCUAACUACGUG
Molecule: ribosomal RNA, 494 nt
Filed under: uncultured bacterium
Lineage: Bacteria
Description: partial 16S ribosomal RNA
Rfam family: Bacterial small subunit ribosomal RNA
Source: RNAcentral